GCAUCAGUGGUGUAGUGGUACACGCAUCGAAUAUGUCCGGAAUAACAAAUGUAUUUUCCAUGAGUUCUGGGUUCGACUCCCGGCUAGUGCA
Non-coding RNA from Mycena sp. CBHHK59/15, 91 nucleotides. Lineage: Eukaryota; Fungi; Basidiomycota; Agaricomycetes; Agaricales; Mycenaceae. The record is from the annotation of a GenBank genome assembly.